CCUACGGGAGGCAGCAGUGAGGAAUAUUGGUCAAUGGGCUUACGCCUGAACCAGCCAAGUCGCGUGAGGGAAGACUGCCCUAUGGGUUGUAAACCUCUUUUGUCAGGGAGCAAUUGGCGCUACGCGUGGCGUUCCGAGAGUACCCGAAGAAAAAGCAUCGGCUAACUCCGUGCCAGCAGCCGCGGUAAUACGGAGGAUGCGAGCGUUAUCCGGAUUUAUUGGGUUUAAAGGGUGCGCAGGCGGAAGAUCAAGUCAGCGGUAAAAUUGAGAGGCUCAACCUCUUCGAGCCGUUGAAACUGGUUGUCUUGAGUGAGCGAGAAGUAUGCGGAAUGCGUGGUGUAGCGGUGAAAUGCAUAGAUAUCACGCAGAACUCCGAUUGCGAAGGCAGCAUACCGGCGCUCAACUGACGCUCAUGCACGAAAGUGUGGGUAUCGAACAGGAUUAGAUACCCGGGUAGUC
RNAcentral lists this ribosomal RNA (459 nucleotides) under uncultured bacterium. Its description in RNAcentral is "partial 16S ribosomal RNA". It matches the Rfam family "Bacterial small subunit ribosomal RNA", at positions 338 to 795 of the family's 1533-position model. The record is from RNAcentral.